Molecule: long non-coding RNA, 1129 nt
Organism: Etheostoma spectabile (orangethroat darter)
Lineage: Eukaryota; Metazoa; Chordata; Actinopteri; Perciformes; Percidae
Exons: 2
Source: RefSeq, a predicted model, not a curated record
UUCAGUGCGCGCUGCCAGAACUGGACAACCCAUUGUCAAACAAGGUCCGAUCCAUCAUCAGUGGCCUGAUUGAAAAAAGAUCGAACUCAAUGAAGCUCCAAAUCGUGAGGCAGAAGGACAAACCAGAGAUGUUGUUCCGUCAGUUCCUGGUGGAGGAUAAAGGCCUGCACGGCGGAGCUUCCUACAUGGACUUCCUUUGCUACGUUCAUCGAGAAAUCAGGCAGCUGCUCACUUAGCCCCCCCGAACACUCGGCCCCAGUGUAUCUCUUUCCUGACUGGCCUGGGAGAAGCACGCCAUCUAAUGGACCACACAGGGUCAGUCUCAGUUGGCUCCAUUUAAAUCUUAAGGACGGUCCACAGAAAGAAACUGUUUAAGUGUUUUACAAAGACAGAGAAGGAAACCAGGAACCAGGGAGAGCCUUUUGAGAUUUAUUCUUGAGAGUCAAAAGCUGCCUUUCCAACAAGGCUUUUGUCACAUGUUAGUGUACACACAGUAUGAUCUUCAAAUAACCACUUGUCCCUUGAGGAACUUCCAAGAACAACAUGAACAACACAUCCAGCAUUUUCUGCACAGAUACUUUGUGUGAUGGACUGCAGAGACUGGAAUGACAUCAGUGUCUAAGGUUGAAAUGCAUUAUGGUAUAACGCCUAUGAGCAUAAGCAAUAGAUCAUAUAUCUCCACAGUGCAGUCAACUGAGUUUUGCGUUUUAUUUUUUAGGUUUACAGAAUCAAAACAAGGGGUUAUUUGUGGUCAAUACUGUAGAUGUUCACUUUAAAAUUCAGUAAAGUUAGCCAGUCUUUGUUAUACACAACUUUCUCCCAUACAAACUGAAUAUGUAUGGAGUCUCAGUAACUCAUUAAACCUUAAUUUCUUUUUUCACAAUUAACGCACACAUACAUUUUACAAUAUUUAAAUGACUUAUAAAAGGGUUCUACGUUUGUACACACUUCUGCUGUCCAGUGGAAAAUGUAUUAAAAUAAACCUACACGCAAGUAGUGUAUCCACAGUACCGGGUUUUUCAUAAUUUAGCGGAAACAAUGCCGCUGUUGCCAGGACUGAAAAGGAUUCCUGUCGUUACACCAUGAGUGAUUCAAAACAUUGGAUUCACAAAAUGCGCCCACCAACAAC